This is a long non-coding RNA of Gossypium arboreum, 695 nucleotides long. RefSeq lists it as uncharacterized. The transcript has 2 exons. The record is from RefSeq and is a predicted model, not a curated record. Lineage: Eukaryota; Viridiplantae; Streptophyta; Magnoliopsida; Malvales; Malvaceae.
AUUUUAAAACAUAAGGUAGGCAAAUCGGGCGCAAAUUGAAGGCUGUGCGCAAGGGGAAGGAUUCGUCGCGCAAAUUCCCCAUUCAUACAAAACAUGCGCAUACCCGGCCUGCCAAACGGGUUUACGCGCGGGCCUUCACUAUUGCAAACGACACCAUUUUGUAAAAGGUUACGUAAAACCUUUCUUUCCCCAUUUCCUUUUUCAAACGCAGCCCCACUGUUUGGCCGAAAAUCACAGCCUUAAAAUUAGAUUUCUAGGGUUUUUUUGUUAGCAGCCGAACCACCAUCGUUUUGGUGAUCAAUCAACAUGCAAACAGUACCCAUCCUCCCCGUUGAAGGCGCUCGACCAUGCUUAGAGAAAAUUAGCUCAGUUGUACGGAGAAGAUGACCCGGUGACAUGGACGCCACACACGGGGAUCUCGCGUGGGACACCGUCCCUCUGGUGCCCUUCCAGUGUAUUCCAGGAGCUGCUGCUAAAAUUCUCUUUCUUUUGGGCUCUUUCGGGUUUGGGCUAGAUUUAGGAUAUGAGUUUAUUAGAAUUGGGUUUUACGACUUAUUGUGUCAUGGGUUAUUUUGGUAAUUGGGUUGGGUCUAUAUUAAAGGAUUUUGGGUUUAAGUUAUUUUGGCCCAAAUAUUUGUAACCGGACAUUGGACUUCUGAAUUUGGAUUCUUUAUUUAUGGGUGUUUUUUAUUCAA